CGUCGCUUCCGGCCAAGCAAGCAUCCAGAGCUCGUGGAUCCCCGCCUGGCACCGCCUGUGACGUCAUUUCUGGUACGUGUACCUGAAGCCUGGCGUCUCGACCUCGGCGCAGCCCGUCACCAGCGGCGUCUGGGGCAGUCACCCCGCAGGACCUCGGUUUUUGCACUUGUAAAAUGAAGACAGCUGUGUCGUUGUACUUCAAAGGCUAGUGAUGGGAUGUGGUUGCUGAAAAAUGUAAAAUGUACGGCUCGUGCUGCACUUUCCAUUCCAAACGUGGGUGACAGUCCAGCCAAAAUACCCUCGAAAGAAGAACCCCAGGCGUGAUAUUUGCUUACUCUUGUCUGAAAUACUUAAGUAUAACUGUAGAAAGUGUUAAGUGAAAAGACCUGAAGGAGAGCAAAGGGCAGUAGUAAGCUUCCAUCUUGACAAAUGUAAGGAAUGUUUUAUCUGUGUCUUAAAGUCGUGUGCGUAUGUUAGAGGGGGCGUCCCAGAUUUUUUCCGUCUUUCGCAAUGUUCAACGAAAGUAAAAAAUCAUGCAAUUACUGCAUGACUUCAACAUCAAACAAGUCUGAGGUUCUGCAGGUAAAUGGUAUAUUGUUGUUUUAGCAUGAAAGUUUUCACAAAUAUGUAGGGGGCAAAACCAAAACAUACAUUAUUUUGGCUAUGGGAGGCUUCAUUUGAUACUUUAAAUUCCAUUUUCAUACUAGUCUCAAUUCAGAAAUGCUCCCUAAAGUUGUAUGACCUUGUAAAUGUUUUUCAUCAUAGCAACAGCAGGCCCAAAUAUUAAAUAUUCCUUUCUCUUCUGUGCCAAAGUUCUUCUCCUUACCCUCUGCCUAAUGUUAUUGUACACUUCCUAUUCUAUGUAUAACUGGAACCUAAAAACAAAACCAAAAACUUUAAAAAACAAAUAAUCAUUUGAAAACCAUCUACGCCUUAAAAACUAGUUGGAAAUCCAUAUUGCUCUCUAUCCUGGUAAUAAAAUCAAGUUAGGUUGCUGCUGAAGUAAACAAGUUAGUACCUGAUCUGACUCUGUAUGGUGGCAUCAGCAGGGAGUUGAGACAGUCCAAAACAGCAAAACCAAACUCGGCCAUAAAUUGAAAACAAAAAUAAAGAACCAAUUGUUAAGACUUCAUGAAUUGGCAUUCAUAAACAACACAGUUCUGCAUUAUAUGUAUUCAAAAUCUCUUCCUUCUUACUGGCAAGCAGGGC
RNAcentral lists this long non-coding RNA (1209 nucleotides) under Homo sapiens (human). Its description in RNAcentral is "non-protein coding lnc-PPP2R3C-5:1". Lineage: Eukaryota; Metazoa; Chordata; Mammalia; Primates; Hominidae. The record is from RNAcentral.